This 480-nucleotide ribosomal RNA is filed under the name uncultured bacterium. RNAcentral describes it as "bacterial SSU rRNA". It matches the Rfam family "Bacterial small subunit ribosomal RNA", at positions 29 to 520 of the family's 1533-position model. The record is from RNAcentral.
AUUGAACGCUGGCGGCAUGCCUUACACAUGCAAGUCGAACGGUGACGAGGAGCUUGCUCCUCUGAUCAGUGGCGAACGGGUGAGUAACACGUGAGCAACCUGCCCCAGACUCUGGGAUAACAGUUGGAAACAGCUGCUAAUACCGGAUACGAGACGGAGAGGCAUCUCUACCGUCUGGAAAGUUUUUCGGUCUGGGAUGGACUCGCGGCCUAUCAGCUAGUUGGUGAGGUAAUGGCUCACCAAGGCGACGACGGGUAGCCGGCCUGAGAGGGCGACCGGCCACACUGGGACUGAGACACGGCCCAGACUCCUACGGGAGGCAGCAGUGGGGAAUAUUGCACAAUGGGCGAAAGCCUGAUGCAGCGACGCCGCGUGAGGGAUGAAGGCCUUCGGGUCGGUAAGACUCUGUCCUCAAGGAAGAUAAUGACGGUACUUGAGGAGGGAAGGCCCCGGCCUAACCUACGUGCCACGCAGCCGCGG